Molecule: microRNA precursor, 89 nt
Filed under: Canis lupus familiaris (dog)
Lineage: Eukaryota; Metazoa; Chordata; Mammalia; Carnivora; Canidae
Also listed under: 1 other name
Description: mir-8799 microRNA precursor family
Rfam family: mir-8799 microRNA precursor family
Source: Rfam by way of RNAcentral
GAGGGGAGGCCGCAUCCUGGUCUGUGUCCCGGCGCCCUGUGCUCGCGGGCCUGCGCUGUUUGAUUCGCGCUCCGGCCGGGCAUCCCCCU